RNAcentral lists this ribosomal RNA (428 nucleotides) under Bacillus sp. MRMR6. RNAcentral describes it as "bacterial SSU rRNA". It matches the Rfam family "Bacterial small subunit ribosomal RNA", at positions 1 to 417 of the family's 1533-position model. Lineage: Bacteria; Bacillati; Bacillota; Bacilli; Caryophanales; Bacillaceae. The record is from RNAcentral.
UUUCAUGGAGAGUUUGAUCCUGGCUCAGGACGAACGCUGGCGGCGUGCCUAAUACAUGCAAGUCGAGCGAAUCAUGAGGUGCUUGCACCUCUUGGUUAGCGGCGGACGGGUGAGUAACACGUGGGCAACCUGCCUGUAAGACUGGGAUAACAUCGGGAAACCGAUGCUAAUACCGGAUAAUUCUUUUCCUCUCAUGAGGAAAAGCUGAAAGUCGGCUUCUCGCUGACACUUACAGAUGGGCCCGCGGCGCAUUAGCUAGUUGGUGAGGUAACGGCUCACCAAGGCGACGAUGCGUAGCCGACCUGAGAGGGUGAUCGGCCACACUGGGACUGAGACACGGCCCAGACUCCUACGGGAGGCAGCAGUAGGGAAUCUUCCGCAAUGGACGAAAGUCUGACGGAGCAACGCCGCGUGAACGAUGAAGGCCU